UAUUUAUUUAUUUAUUUAUUUAUGAAAAGAGAGCAGCCACCCCUUGGUGGGGAUUUUGGCAAUCAGGUUGAGCAGGUGCACUGAGUUGCAUGGUUUGGUGAUUGCAAAAAGGCUGCAGCUGGAUGUCGCUGGCUUAGGGCUGCCUCUGUGGGGUCAUUGUAUUGCUGUGGUGCUGGGACACAGGAGGUAAGGUGUGAUAGUGGCUCAUGAGGAGUGGUAAUAUAUGUACCUGAGCUUUCUCCUUGAGCUGAUCAGCCUCUUUGGUUCUUGUUUUCUUCUUUGUAACAGCGGAACUUGACCUUGGCCUCGUGGGCUGCAAGAUUUAAAGCGUGGUGGCUGUAUGCCAGCAGGGAUGAAAGCAAGACCUCACAUUGGAGGGGUCACCUGGAGGAGGGGGCUCUGGACCGCUGGCUCAUAUCUGCCCUGGGACUGGCUCUGCUUCGUACCGGACCACGUCCACCUGCCUGUGAGUUCUGAGCUAAAUAGCCUCUAAUACUUUUUCAAAGAUAUGAAGCUGUGUGCAGAAAUGUUGAGGACGACGAGGAACAUCAGGACCUGUGUACAAGGGAUAAUCCAAUGGAUUACAAUUUUUCUACUUUUCUCUUCCAAUUUUGUAUAGUUCUUGGAUUAAGAAAUAACAUCAUAAGAUAAUUGGUUAAAGCACAGAAAAAUGGAAACAAACCCAUUAAUGAGUAGGAUAACAAUGAAAUUUUCUCUAUAUAUUAUGUGCUGCAGGUAAUGUAUCUAGUUGCCAAGAAUAUAGCUUUUAUAUAUCAGCUGACAAUCAUGCAAUCUCACAGGACUGGCCUUGGUACAACACUAUUAUGAAGCUAGAAUGAAUUGAAAGAAAUUAGUGAAUAUUGCUUGAAAGAUUAAGAACUUGUUUUCCAUAUCUUUGUUUGUAAUAAGAUCAAAAAAAAAAAAAAAGCAUAAAAGAGUAGGAAAAAAAAUACAGAAAGAGCUGUUACUUGGAAGGUGAAUAGUUCGUAGCAUAGUGGUGUGUUAGUUUUCUUCUAGAAGAGACUGCCUGUCUCUCUCUCUUUCAGAGUGAAGUCCAUGUAGUUGCUCAAGUAUGGCAAUUCUAAUGGAAGAAAAUAGGGAUGAGAGCCUCUUAUGAAGGGCCCUUUGAACUUCUUCCUUUCCUUUAGGUCUGAGUAAAUCUGGAUUUUCUGACCUACAGAUCAUCAAUUCAUUAUCCUGAAUGCCUCUCUGUGCAGAGGCUUUGUUUAUUGUUAGUUUAGGUAUGUUUUUAUGGGUAGUUCAGGACCAACAUGCAGGUUUGAGUGUUGGUUGGCCUAGUCUGACUUCAGUAGCAACUGUAUAGGUCAUAUUUGAGUCUCAGGCAUUUUAAACAACAGACUUUUUGCUGUGGAAGUUCUUAGAAUCUUAAGAAAAAGAGUAAGUGGGGACCUGGAGAGUCCCACAGCAGUCAGGUACCACAAACCAUUUCUAAUGAAAUUUGGAUAUGUUUUUAGUGUUUGAGUAGGGAAGACUAUUUUAUAUCCUCUUACGUUCAGUCUGUAGUCAAGACUUUAGAUCCCAUUCUGUAUUCCUUAUGCUGGCUAUGAUAGUCUCUAUUUGUGCUUCCCACUAAGUUGUAAGGGACUUCACCUAUCCAUUGAGAAAGCAUACGCAAGAUGGAGUGACAUUUGCUAACUAGCAGCAGACAAAUAAUUUACCCUUCAGCCAUCCUGCUAACAGAUUAACAGUUAAAACACACUUUCAGUAGAUAGGGGAUAGAUCAUAUAGUUUAAAUGACAAAUACUGCCCUUCCCCACUGGCAAGAGGCAUAUAUGAAUGACAGUAAAUUAAUAAACCAAAUAAACUAUGUAGUGAAGCCA
RNAcentral lists this long non-coding RNA (1841 nucleotides) under Anas platyrhynchos platyrhynchos (common mallard). RNAcentral's name for it is "lncRNA (ENSAPLG00000027374.1)". The record is from RNAcentral. Lineage: Eukaryota; Metazoa; Chordata; Aves; Anseriformes; Anatidae.